This 819-nucleotide ribosomal RNA is filed under the name uncultured bacterium. RNAcentral describes it as "partial 16S ribosomal RNA". It matches the Rfam family "Bacterial small subunit ribosomal RNA", at positions 55 to 873 of the family's 1533-position model. The record is from RNAcentral.
AUGCAAGUUCGAACGGGGUGCCAUUCUUUCGGGAGGUGGUUGCUAGCUGGCGGAUNNCCUUNAUAACGCGUUAGGAACCUGCUCGCACAGAUGGGGGAUAACGCNUGGGAAACCGGCGCGUAAUACCGCAUGUGGUCAGAGAUGAAGAAAGCAGCAAUGCGCUGUGUGAGGGGCCUGCGUCCGAUUAGCUGGUUGGUGGGGUAAGGGCCUACCAAGGCGACGAUCGGUAGCUGGUCUGANAGGAUGGUCAGCCACACUGGGACUGANACACGGCCCAGACUCCUACGGGAGGCAGCAGUUAGGAAAUUUUCACAAUGGGGAAACCCUGAUGGAGUAACNCCGCGUGGAGGAUGACGGCCUUCNGGUUGUAAACUUCUUUUCUGUGNGAAGAGUANAAGACGGUACCACAGGAAUAAGCAUCNGCUAACUACGUGCCAGCAGCCGCGGUAAUACGUACGAUGCNAGCGUUGUCCGGAAUUACUGGGCGUAAAGAGCGCGUAGGCGGUGCUGUACGACAUGUGUGAAAGCCCCCGGCUCAACUGGAGAGGGUCAUGUGUAACGGCAGCACUCUGAGUGCACGANAGGGAAGUGGAACUCCUGGAGUACCGGUGAAAUGCCUAGAGACCCCGAUGAACACCAAUUGNCUAAAGGCGGCUUCCUGGUCUGCGAACUGACUUCUGUGGGCGCGAAAGCUUAAGGGAAACGAAACGGGNAUUANAUACCCCGGUAGUCCUAUCCGUUAAACGAUGGAAACUANGUGGUGCNNANGNAUCCAACCCCUCCCNUGGCNANAAUCAAACCCAUUAAGUGUCCCCCCCU